AACGUAUGUUGUGCGGAGGCUAUGUGGCCUGUAGAAUUUUUUUUUUUUGGGGGGGGUAACUAUCUGCAUCAACUCAUAGCAAAAUGCUUCAAAGACACUCUACGAACUCCAGUGUCGACCAGCCACCAUGAGUGUAAAUUAGCCGUUUGAAUGGACUCCCAUCUUAACUCAUGUGGAUGGACGUCAGAAGUCCUAUGGGCUGUGUCCACUCAAGCGAAACCCCUGAGGCUUGAUGGAAGACUAUAUGAUUUAAAUGGGUACGUUUUGGCAGUCAGUUGAGUGAAUGUAUUGUGUGGCGUAGUUUCUCAAGGUUAUAUGUAGCAUAGUGCAUAGCAAGAUCAUCAAUUGAAGUCGUGCAGUAAUGGACUAAUUAAUACCCUUUC
Long non-coding RNA from Salvelinus sp. IW2-2015, 383 nucleotides. RefSeq lists it as uncharacterized. Lineage: Eukaryota; Metazoa; Chordata; Actinopteri; Salmoniformes; Salmonidae. The record is from RefSeq and is a predicted model, not a curated record.